Molecule: non-coding RNA, 52 nt
Filed under: Plasmodium falciparum 3D7
Lineage: Eukaryota; Apicomplexa; Aconoidasida; Haemosporida; Plasmodiidae
Source: RNAcentral
CUCCACAAAUCUUCGGUGGAUCCACUGGGUUUUCAGUUUCUUCAAGGAGUAA